GACGAACGCUGGCGGCGUGCCUAAUACAUGCAAGUAGAACGCUGAAGGAGGAGCUUGCUUCUCUGGAUGAGUUGCGAACGGGUGAGUAACGCGUAGGUAACCUGCCUGGUAGCGGGGGAUAACUAUUGGAAACGAUAGCUAAUACCGCAUAAGAGUAGAUGUUGCAUGACAUUUGCUUAAAAGGUGCAAUUGCAUCACUACCAGAUGGACCUGCGUUGUAUUAGCUAGUUGGUGAGGUAACGGCUCACCAAGGCAACGAUACAUAGCCGACCUGAGAGGGUGAUCGGCCACACUGGGACUGAGACACGGCCCAGACUCCUACGGGAGGCAGCAGUAGGGAAUCUUCGGCAAUGGACGGAAGUCUGACCGAGCAACGCCGCGUGAGUGAAGAAGGUUUUCGGAUCGUAAAGCUCUGUUGUAAGAGAAGAACGAGUGUGAGAGUGGAAAGUUCACACUGUGACGGUAUCUUACCAGAAAGGGACGGCUAACUACGUGCCAGCAGCCGCGGUAAUACGUAGGUGGCAAGCGUUAUCCGGAAUUAUUGGGCGUAAAGCGCGCGUAGGCGGUUUUUUAAGUCUGAUGUGAAAGCCCACGGCUCAACCGUGGAGGGUCAUUGGAAACUGGAAAACUUGAGUGCAGAAGAGGAAAGUGGAAUUCCAUGUGUAGCGGUGAAAUGCGCAGAGAUAUGGAGGAACACCAGUGGCGAAGGCGACUUUCUGGUCUGUAACUGACGCUGAUGUGCGAAAGCGUGGGGAUCAAACAGGAUUAGAUACCCUGGUAGUCCACGCCGUAAACGAUGAGUGCUAAGUGUUAGGGGGUUUCCGCCCCUUAGUGCUGCAGCUAACGCAUUAAGCACUACGCCUGGGGAGUACGACCGC
Molecule: ribosomal RNA, 878 nt
Filed under: uncultured Streptococcaceae bacterium
Lineage: Bacteria; Bacillati; Bacillota; Bacilli; Lactobacillales; Streptococcaceae
Description: bacterial SSU rRNA
Rfam family: Bacterial small subunit ribosomal RNA
Source: RNAcentral